CUCUAGUUAGUCUAGUGGCUAGGAUUCCUGGUUUUCAAACAGGCUUUCCAGGUUCAAUUCCUGAGCAGAAA
This 71-nucleotide transfer RNA is filed under the name Sus scrofa (pig). It matches the Rfam family "tRNA". Rfam says of the family: Transfer RNA (tRNA) molecules are approximately 80 nucleotides in length. Their secondary structure includes four short double-helical elements and three loops (D, anti-codon, and T loops). Further hydrogen bonds mediate the characteristic L-shaped molecular structure. tRNAs have two regions of fundamental functional importance: the anti-codon, which is responsible for specific mRNA codon recognition, and the 3' end, to which the tRNAs corresponding amino acid is attached (by aminoacyl-tRNA synthetases). tRNAs cope with the degeneracy of the genetic code in two manners: having more than one tRNA (with a specific anti-codon) for a particular amino acid; and 'wobble' base-pairing, i.e. permitting non-standard base-pairing at the 3rd anti-codon position. Lineage: Eukaryota; Metazoa; Chordata; Mammalia; Artiodactyla; Suidae. The record is from Rfam by way of RNAcentral.